UACAGGGGGUGCAAACGUUGCUCGGAAUUAUUGGGCGUAAAGCGCGCGUAGGCGGCUACUUAAGUCGGAUGUGAAAGCCCCUGGCUCAACUGGGGAAGUGCACCCGAAACUGACUAGCUUGAGUGCAAAAGAGGGCCGCGGAAUUCCCGGUGUAGAGGUGAAAUUCGUAGAUAUCGGGAGGAACACCGGUGGCGAAGGCGGCGGCCUGGGUUGACACUGACGCUGAGGCGCGAAAGCGUGGGGAGCAAACAGG
This 253-nucleotide ribosomal RNA is filed under the name uncultured bacterium. RNAcentral's name for it is "partial 16S ribosomal RNA". It matches the Rfam family "Bacterial small subunit ribosomal RNA", at positions 524 to 776 of the family's 1533-position model. The record is from RNAcentral.